Molecule: ribosomal RNA, 392 nt
Filed under: Thermoanaerobacterium sp. PSU-2
Lineage: Bacteria; Bacillati; Bacillota; Clostridia; Thermoanaerobacterales; Thermoanaerobacteraceae
Description: bacterial LSU rRNA
Rfam family: Bacterial large subunit ribosomal RNA
Source: RNAcentral
UAGGUCAAGUUAGAAAGGGCGUAUGGUGGAUGCCCAGGCACUUAGAGCCGAAGAAGGACGCAGCAAGCGGCGAAACGCUCCGGGGAGUCGCAAGCAGACGCAGAUCCGGAGAUCUCCGAAUGGGGAAACCCGCUUAAGGUAAUACUUAAGCAUCCCAUGGUGAACACAUAGCCAUGAGGAAGGGACACCGCGUGAACUGAAACAUCUAAGUAGCGCGAGGAAAAGAAAGAAAAAAUCGAUUUCCUGAGUAGUGGCGAGCGAAAAGGAAAGAGCCCAAACCAUCACCAAUGGUGAUGGGGUUUAGGACCACAAGAAGGUAUGAAAAGCGAAGCCGAACAGACCUGGGAAGGCAGGCCAAAGAAGGUGAAAGCCCUGUAGGCGUAGGCUUAAAA